Molecule: long non-coding RNA, 563 nt
Organism: Pseudopipra pipra
Lineage: Eukaryota; Metazoa; Chordata; Aves; Passeriformes; Pipridae
Exons: 2
Source: RefSeq, a predicted model, not a curated record
UUUCUCAUUUCCCAGGCCUCCCCACAGGAAAAGCUGGCAGUAUCCAUGCUGUGCCUGCCCUCUGGACAAAUUAGGGACUGUGGUGUCUGUAGAUAACAGCCCAGCAUCUCCCACCAGGAUAAAUUCACACCAAAGGCAACAGGGAAAAGCAGCGGGAAGCGUUUGUGCUCCGGGGACUGGUCAUUAUUUACUGAAGCUCCUUGAUGCCUCAACAGCAUCUGAAACCCGUGGGAAGUGCUGCAGCAGUACAGAGACGGAGCUGACAGAGAAGGAAAGGCCCCAGGAAUUGUUUCCAUCUGUCACUUGGCUUUGCCCACAGGCUCUGGUGCUGCCCGUGGUGGGCACUGGCUGCACUGGCAUGGGCUGUGUGCUCCUGCCUUCCCUGGAUCCUUGUCUGGCACCAACACCCCGGGGUCGGACUUUUCUCCUGGGGAACAAGUGAUGGGACAAGAGGAAACGGCCUCAAGUUGCACCAGGGGAGGUUUGGGUUGGAUCAAAGGAAAAUUUCUCCGCUGAAAGGGUUGGUGGAGUCCCCGUCCCUGGAAAAGCUGAAAAACUUGAAA